GACGAACGCUGGCGGCGUGCUUAACACAUGCAAGUCGAACGGAAAGGCCCUGCUUUUGUGGGGUGCUCGAGUGGCGAACGGGUGAGUAACACGUGAGUAACCUGCCCUUGACUUUGGGAUAACUUCAGGAAACUGGGGCUAAUACCGGAUAGGAGCUCCUGCUGCAUGGUGGGGGUUGGAAAGUUUCGGCGGUUGGGGAUGGGCUCGCGGCUUAUCAGCUUGUUGGUGGGGUAGUGGCUUACCAAGGCUUUGACGGGUAGCCGGCCUGAGAGGGUGACCGGCCACAUUGGGACUGAGAUACGACACAGACUCCUACGGGAGGCAGCAGUGGGGAAUAUUGCACAAUGGGCGGAAGCCUGAUGCAGCAACGCCGCGUGCGGGAUGACGGCCUUCGGGUUGUAAACCUCUUUCGCCUGUGACGAAGCGUGAGUGACGGUAAUGGGUAAAGAAGCACCGGCUAGCUACGUG
This 468-nucleotide ribosomal RNA is filed under the name uncultured bacterium. RNAcentral describes it as "partial 16S ribosomal RNA". It matches the Rfam family "Bacterial small subunit ribosomal RNA", at positions 28 to 507 of the family's 1533-position model. The record is from RNAcentral.